GACGGGGCCCGCACAAGCGGUGGAGUAUGUGGUUUAAUUCGAUGCAACGCGAAGAACCUUACCUGGUCUUGACAUCCCGGAGACCCUUAGGAAACUAGGGGUGCUUCCAUCUGGAAGAAUCUGGAGACAGGUGCUGCAUGGCUGUCGUCAGCUCGUGUCGUGAGAUGUUGGGUUAAGUCCCGCAACGAGCGCAACCCUUGCCUUUAGUUGCCAGCAGUUCGGCUGGGCACUCUAAAGGGACUGCCGGUGUUAAACCGGAGGAAGGUGGGGAUGACGUCAAGUCCUCAUGGCCCUUAUGACCAGGGCUACACACGUACUACAAUGGCCGAUACAAAGGGCAGCGACACUGCGAGGUGAAGCCAAUCCCGUAAAAUCGGUCUCAGUCCGGAUUGGAGUCUGCAACUCGACUCCAUGAAGUUGGAAUCGCUAGUAAUCGUGGAUCAGCAUGCCACGGUGAAUACGUUCCCGGGCCUU
This 474-nucleotide ribosomal RNA is filed under the name uncultured Desulfobulbus sp. RNAcentral's name for it is "bacterial SSU rRNA". It matches the Rfam family "Bacterial small subunit ribosomal RNA", at positions 916 to 1381 of the family's 1533-position model. The record is from RNAcentral. Lineage: Bacteria; Pseudomonadati; Thermodesulfobacteriota; Desulfobulbia; Desulfobulbales; Desulfobulbaceae.